AAGAGCUCAGAUUUGAAAUCGUGUUUCGGCACGAGUUGUAGAGUGUAGGCGGGAGUCUCUGUGGAGCGCGGUGUCCAAGUCCCUUGGAACAGGGUGCCUGAGAGGGUGAGAGCCCCGUAGGGUGCUGCGCGAAGCUUUUGAGGCCCUGCUGACGAGUCGAGUUAUUUGGGAAUGCAGCUCCAAGCGGGUGGUAAAUUCCAUCUAAGGCUAAAUAUUGGCGAGAGACCGAUAGCGAACAAGUACUGUGAAGGAAAGAUGAAAAGCACUUUGAAAAGAGAGUGAAACAGCACGUGAAAUUGUUGAAAGGGAAGGGUAUUGGGCUCGACAUGGGGGGUGCGCACCGCUGUCUCUUGUAGGCGGCGCUCUGGGCGCCCUCUGGGCCAGCAUCGGUUCCUGCUGCGGGAGAAGGGGCUCCGGAAAGUGGCUCUUCGGAGUGUUAUAGCCGGGGCCAGAUGCCGCGUGUGGGGACCGAGGACUGCGGCUUCUGUCUCGGAUGCUGGCAUAACGGCGCAAUACCGCCCGUCUUGAAACACGGACC
This 538-nucleotide ribosomal RNA is filed under the name Pichia manshurica. Its description in RNAcentral is "eukaryotic LSU rRNA". It matches the Rfam family "Eukaryotic large subunit ribosomal RNA", at positions 103 to 667 of the family's 3401-position model. Lineage: Eukaryota; Fungi; Ascomycota; Pichiomycetes; Pichiales; Pichiaceae. The record is from RNAcentral.